UCCUACGGGGGGCAGCAGUGAGGAAUAUUGGUCAAUGGACGGAAGUCUGAACCAGCCAUGCCGCGCGCAGGAAUACGGCUCUAUGAGUUGUAAACUGCUUUUGUACAAGGGUAAACCUGAAUACGUGUAUUCAGCUGAAAGUACUGUACGAACAAGGAUCGGCUAACUCCGUGCCAACAGCCGCGGUAAUACGGAGGAUCCAAGCGUUAUCCGGGUUUAUUUGGUUUAAAGGGUUCGUAGGCGGAUUGAUAAGUU
Molecule: ribosomal RNA, 255 nt
Filed under: uncultured bacterium
Lineage: Bacteria
Description: partial 16S ribosomal RNA
Rfam family: Bacterial small subunit ribosomal RNA
Source: RNAcentral